AUGAUACGCGAGGAACCUUACCUGGGCUCGAACGUAAGAUGACUGUAGGUGAAAGCUUACAUCUCUUCGGAGCAUUUUACGAGGUGCUGCAUGGUUGUCGUCAGCUCGUGCCGUGAGGUGUCGGGUUAAGUCCCAUAACGAGCGCAACCCCUACCUUUAGUUGCCAUCAGGUAAUGCUGGGGACUCUAAAGGAACUGCCUACGCAAGUAGUGAGGAAGGCGGGGAUGACGUCAAAUCAGCACGGCCCUUACGUCCAGGGCUACACACGUGCUACAAUGGCCGAUACAGAGGGCAGCUACCUGGUGACAGGAUGCAAAUCUCCAAAGUCGGUCUCAGUUCGGAUCGGAGUCUGCAACCCGACUCCGUGAAGUUGGAUUCGCUAGUAAUCGCGCAUCAGCCAUGGCGCGGUGAAUACGUUCCCGGGCCUU
Molecule: ribosomal RNA, 428 nt
Filed under: uncultured Sphingobacteriales bacterium
Lineage: Bacteria; Pseudomonadati; Bacteroidota; Sphingobacteriia; Sphingobacteriales
Description: bacterial SSU rRNA
Rfam family: Bacterial small subunit ribosomal RNA
Source: RNAcentral